AACUUCCAGCUGCCAGCAAACUUCCAGCUGCUGGCUGAUGAUUGGCUCACAGCGGCCCCAGCAACAUCUAGCUGAUUGGCUCCUCAGCCCCAGCAACAUCUAGCUGAUUGGCUCCUCUGCGGUGAUGCUCAUUGGGCUGUUUCCCUGCCCUUUCAGACCACGGAGCUGCUCAUUGGGGGACUUUUUUGGCUCCGCCCACGUGACCCAGCCAAUUGGCCUCAAGAGCAGGAGGAUUGUGGGAGGUGGAGAGAAGCUUGUGUGGGAGAGAGAGGCUUGUGGAAAGCCGGUGGUGGCAGUUGAGGCUCUGAGGGUUUUUCCUGAGAGGCUGUUUUGUUUGGCGUGUGUGGUUCUAAAAAUAAAGUUAGUUUCUUUUGACAAGUGGCUCCUGAUUGUGCCCAGCCAGACUGCGGCANUCCCCUUGGAUAAGGGAGCACUACUACAUUCUGUUUACUAGAGGCUGGCCUUGAACUUGCAACCUUUCUGCCUCCCUGAUUACAGGUACAUGGCACCCAUGUGGCUUGAGAAUUUGCUUUGGAUUGAAGAAUUCAAGAAGGCUUUGCGGAGGGAGUGGUAUUUGACUUGGGCCUUAAAAUGUGGGCUGGGACGGGACAUGGAAGGGAGAUUCAUUCGUUCCAUGCCAGCAUAGUGGCAAGAACUGUUUUGGUGGUGGUUGGUUGGAAGUACGGCUACAACCAGGGAGGCAGAAAGAAGAGUAGGCAGGGGACCCUCAGAUCCUUGAUGUGGCCUUGUUUAAUAGCAUCUGCCAUACUGUACCAUGAGGUCCUUGUGCACAGAGCCCUGUUUCACUGACAUAAGUCCCCACAAGCCCUGCAGCCUGUGCACAGUACCUUGUACUGUGAUUGUUAAUAAAUGUAAGCUGAAUACAUGAGUGCCAAUAUAGUGCCAGGGGAUAGGACUGGUAAAGGAGAGAUAAGCAAAGACCAUUCAUUUAAUAGCAAGGGAAACUGAGGUCCAAAGAGUGCCUGAAGUUGUUUGGCAUGACAGAUGUGGGUGCCCAGUGCCUGGCAUAUAGAAGAAGCACAGUCCUACGUUUCCCUUCCUCCCUGGGACUACCACAGAGCUAGACCCAGGAGUGUAUGAUCAUCCCAUCUCAUCUCCCAGAGUCAUGCCCUGGCUACAUCAAAAUUCAAGGCUUUUGGGGUAGGAGUUGUAGCUCAGUGGUAGAGCACUUGCCUAGCAUGUGUGAGGAACUGGGUUCAAUUCUCAGCACUACAUAUAAAUAAAUAAAUAAAAUUAAAAGGUCCUUCAACAAUAAAUAAAUAAAAAUAAAAAUAUAACAUAUAAAAACAAUAAAUUAAAAUUUAAAUAAAAAAAAAACCUCAAGGCUUAGGAAGAUGGAAAGUAGAAUGCUCCCCUUAUAUCUCAUCACAUAGAAGCAGUAGAAGGCAGAGGCAGGCUGCAGCAGACCCUUUAAAAGACACUUGGAAUGGGCUGGGGAUGUGGCUCAAGCAGUAGCGCGCUCGCCUGGUAUGCGUGCGGCCCGGGUUCGAUCCUCAGCACCACAUACAAACAAAGAUGUUGUGUCCCCU
RNAcentral lists this long non-coding RNA (1550 nucleotides) under Marmota monax (woodchuck). The stretch from base 1170 to 1230 matches the Rfam family "tRNA", at positions 6 to 65 of the family's 71-position model. Lineage: Eukaryota; Metazoa; Chordata; Mammalia; Rodentia; Sciuridae. The record is from RNAcentral.